This 2804-nucleotide ribosomal RNA is filed under the name Mallomonas corymbosa. RNAcentral describes it as "bacterial LSU rRNA". It matches the Rfam family "Bacterial large subunit ribosomal RNA". Lineage: Eukaryota; Synurophyceae; Synurales; Mallomonadaceae. The record is from RNAcentral.
GUGAAGAAGGACGUGGCUACCGGCGAAACGUUUCGGGGAGUUGGAAGUAAGCUUUGAUCCGAAAGUAUCCGAAUGAGGAAACUCAAUAACUUCUUACUGAAUCUAUAAGUAAAGAAAGAGCAAACCUAGGGAACUGAAACAUCUUAGUACCUAGAGGAAAAGAAAGUAAAAACGAUUCCCUGAGUAGUGGCGAACGAAACGGGAACAGCCUAAACUUUUUUAAAUCGUAUGAUUUUGGAAAAGGGUUGUGGGAUAAAUAAGUUUUUCGUGAGCAAAAUACUUCCUUUUCAUCUGAAAAGAAAAGUACAAGCAGAAACGAAAAAUAAGAAAGAAACUCAAGCAAAAGCUAAGUCUUUUUUAGAAAUUAGGUGAAAUAACUGGAAAGUUAUACCAAAGAAAGUGAUAGUCUUGUAACCAAAAAUUUCUUACCAAUGAUUUAUUCCCGAGUAGCAUGGGGCACGUGGAAUCCCGUGUGAAUCUGCGAGGACCACCUCGUAAGGCUAAAUAUUCCUGAAUGUCCGAUAGCGCAUAGUACCGCGAGGGAAAGGUGAAAAGAACCCCGGGAGGGGAGUGAAAUAGAACGUGAAAUUGCAAGCCCACAAACAGAAAGAGAACGACUUAGCGUUUAAUUUCGUGCCUGUUGAAGAAUGUUCCGGCGACUUAUAGUUAGUGGCAGGUUAAGAGAGAGAUCUCGGAGCCAGAGUGAAAGCGAGCUUGAAUAGAGCGUUCGUCACUAAUUAUAGACCCGAACCCGGUUGAUCUAACCAUGGCCAGGAUGAAACUUAGGUAAUACUAAGUGGAGGUCCGAACCGACUGAUGUUGAAAAAUCAGCGGAUGAGCUGUGGUUAGGGGUGAAAUGCCAAUCGAAACCGGAGCUAGCUGGUUCUCCCCGAAAUGUAUUUAGGUGCAGCGGUUAAUAUUAUAGCGUAGGGGUAAAGCACUGUUUCGGUGCGGGCUGGUAAUUCGGUACCAAAUCGAGGCAAACUCUGAAUACUACGUGCACAGUUAACCAGUAAGACUAUGGGGGAUAAGCUUCAUAGUCAAGAGGGAAACAGCCCAGAUCACCAGCUAAGGCCCCUAAAUAAUGACUAAGUGAUAAAGGAAGUGGAAAGGCUUAGACAACCAGGAGGUUUGCUUAGAAGCAGCAAUCCUUUAAAAAGUGCGUAAUAGCUUACUGGUCUAGCAAUUCUGCGCCGAAAACUUACGGGACUAAGUCAUUUGCCGAAGCUGUGAGAUAGAAAGAAAAGUGUUAAGCUUAUCCUUUCUAUCGGUAGGGGAGCGUUCUGUUGUAGAGUGAAGUAUUAGCGAAAGCGGGUAUGGACGAAACAGAAGUGAGAAUGUCGGAUUGAGUAGCGAAAACAUUGGUGAGAAUCCAAUGCUCCGAAAACCUAAGGUUUCCUCCGCAAGGCUCGUCCACGGAGGGUUAGUCAGGUCCUAAGAUGAGGCUGAGAAGCGUAGUCGAUGGAGAAUAGGUCAACAUUCCAAUACUCGGUUCUAGCAGGUAUCGAGGGACGAAGAAGGCUAAACUAGCCAGAGAUUGGUUACUGGUUUAAGUAUUUGAGGUGUUGAAGAUUAGAGAAAAUAAUCUGAGCUGAGAUACGAAUACAAGAUUUUAAAAAUCAAAGUAGUUGAUGUCAUACUUCCAAGAAAAGCUCGCUAUGCCUUAUGCUAGAAUCACCUGUACCAGAAACCGACACAGGUAGGUAGGUAGAGAAUACCAAGGAGCGCGGGAGAACCCUCCUUAAGGAACUCGGCAAAAUAGCUCUGUAACUUCGGAAGAAAGAGUGCCUUUUAGGCUGCAAUAUCAAGUUCCAAGCAACUGUUUAGCAAAAACACAGGUCUCCGCAAAGUGGUAACACGACGUAUGGGGGCUGACGCCUGCCCAGUGCUGGAAGGUUAAAGAAGUCGGUUAGCGCAAGCAAAGCUGGUAACUGAAGCCCCAGUGAACGGCGGCCGUAACUAUAACGGUCCUAAGGUAGCGAAAUUCCUUGUCAGGUAAGUUCUGACCCGCACGAAUGGCGUAAUGAUUUGGAAGCUGUCUCGAGGAGGGACUCGGUGAAAUAGAACUAGCUGUGAAGAUGCGGCUUACCUGCGCCUGGACAGUAAGACCCUAUGAAGCUUUACUGUAUCCUGAAAUUGGAUUUCGAUUUUAUUUGCGCAGAAUAGGUGGGAGACGUUGAAAUUCUUCUUUUGGGAAGGAUGGAGUCAUUAGUGAGAUACCACUCUGAUAAAAUUAAAAUUCUAACUUCAUACCGUAAGCCGGUUGAAAGACAGUUUCAGGUGGGCAGUUUGACUGGGGCGGUCGCCUCCCAAAAGGUAACGGAGGCGUACAAAGGUUUCCUCAGAUCGGUCAGAAAUCGAUCUUUGAGUGCAAAGGCAAAAGGAAGCUUAACUGUGAGACAAACAAGUCGAGCAGAGACGAAAGUCGGUCUUAGUGAUCUGACGAUGCUGUGUGGAAAGGUCGUCACUCAACGGAUAAAAGUUACUCUAGGGAUAACAGGCUGAUCUCCCCCAAGAGUUCCUAUCGACGGGGAGGUUUGGCACCUCGAUGUCGGCUCAUCGCAUCCUGGGGCGGAAGUACGUCCCAAGGGUUGGGCUGUUCGCCCAUUAAAGCGGUACGUGAGCUGGGUUCAGAACGUCGCGAGACAGUUCGGUCCAUAUCCGGCGUGGGCGUUGGAGUAUUGAGAGUGACCUUUCUCUAGUACGAGAGGACCGAGAAAGAUGUACCGCUGGUGUACCAGUUCUUGUGCCAACAGGAAAUGCUGGGUAGCUAAGUACAGUUAGGAUAACCGCUGAAAGCAUCU